GGAAGUGCCCUGUGUCAGUCUGGCCGGCUGUGGCCAUGAGGAAAACGUGGGGAGUGUUCACAAAGGGGACAACAUUUUGCAUACAUUUUGUAUGAUUCCUGUCUGUGUUUGGGAGAAAAAUCCUAGCCUUUCUGCUGUGUUGUAAAGGCACGAAGACACAAAUGUGCAGCCGAAUGAAGCAUUCCAGGGCAAGAGGGCAUUCCUGUUGACAAACUGCAAUCAGACAUCUAUUUGUUUCGCCCCUGCCUGUAAUGACACAAGGAAGAGAAGACAACAUUGCAUUCAUGGAACAUUUAUCAAGCAAAGAACAAAAGACGAGCAGCAGCUUGCAAUGUAUAUCAUGGGAGGAAAGGAGGACUGCAUUACAAUAUAUGAAUUUCAAUCAGUAACCUUUCUAGGACAUGAAUUUUUAAGAUGAAAGUGCAAGAUCAUAAUUUCUUGGAAAGUUCCCAAGGAUCUUAAAAUAACUUCCUAAGUCAGCGAAACUUCGGAAGAAUCCUCCGAAGAGACUUUAGCAAUAUUUCACUUUUGGAAGUUCUUUAGCAGAGCACUCUAAGAACAACAUUUAAAUACAAUUUUCAUGAGCACUUCGCUGGGAGUUGGCAUAAAGAACCUAUGAAUGUUACAUGA
This is a long non-coding RNA of Pseudophryne corroboree (corroboree frog), 630 nucleotides long. RefSeq lists it as uncharacterized. NCBI's taxonomy places the organism in Eukaryota, Metazoa, Chordata, Amphibia, Anura, Myobatrachidae. The transcript has 3 exons. The record is from RefSeq and is a predicted model, not a curated record.